AUUAUGAUUAAAUAUCUGGUUCUGUAUUAGUCAUUCUCCUCGAACGUGGUAACUGUUUUCAAGUACUAUCACAGUUAUUGUAAUGUCAACUGUGUAAUAUUCUGAAUGACUUAAAUUAUGAUUAAAUAUCUGGUUCUGUAUUAGUCAUUCUUCCCGAACGUGGUAACUGUUUUCAAGUACUGUCACAGUUAUUGUAAUGUAGAAGACUGGAAAGUCUGAUUACAAAUAUUUUUAAUGCUGGUUGACAGCAAAGAUAUUUGACACAAAGUACUCAAUCCCACAUUUUCAUCACUUAUCAGUGUUCGAGAGUGCUUUGUUUGGCGAGUCUGUAAUGUUCCAUCAUAAUUGUAGUAAUUUUGUUUAAAAUACUCUAGACAUUCUGAUGGUUUCCACGGCAUUUACUACUUUUUGAGUAAAAAAUAAAAUGUAGAGAGAUUUGUGAAUUUUUAAAUAACACGAUCUUUGUUGCAGAGUGUCAGUAUUAUGCACUGAACUGUAAUAUUAUUUUGUAAUUACAAAAACCUUCGUUAAAUGUUUACAAUACAUACCAUGUAAGAAACUUGCUUAAGAACUACCAGCUUGUAAUUACCUUGUUUGUGUUAGCUGCUGUGAAAUCAAAGUUAAUUAGUUGGAAAUGUAGCUUAUUGUGGGAAAAUCUGUGUAUAUAAUACGUAUACAAGGCUUCACUAUGUAAAUACAUAAUAGACACUUUUUGUACACCAAAGAACACUGGGAGAGUUGAAACAAUAGAAACACAGUACUAGGGAAGUGGAUGUGGCGUCCGGCCGACCCAGAUAUAUAGCUUUUUUUGCACCAGAUCGUAACCUUAACACGAUAACAGCACUGAGUAGUUUACCCAGAGAAUAUUUUCAAGGGAAAAUAUUAAAGAUAUUUAUUUUUAAUGCAGUUAAUUUAUUUUUUUUUCACUAUUUUGUUUUAAUAUUCUCUAGUAGGUACUGUACAGUGAAUAUUUUGAUAGCUGAAUUAGGUUUUAUUUAGGUUGUGCAAUUACUGGUUAGUAAGUUGAACCUACUAUUCAGUCAAAGAAUAAAAAUAUGGUAAGUAGCUUCAUGUUCUCAGAGUACCUUUUGUUAUGAGUAAUGUUUAGCAUAAUUCUCUUGGUGGUAACUAAUAUUAAAACCCUUUCUUUUACAGCAUGAUUUGUUAAAAGUAUUUCCUUUUACUAUGUUAGUUGAAUUACAAGAACUUGGCUGCUAUGUCAGGCUGUUGAUAAUUAUAAGAUAACUUACUUUUUUUAGCCUAUUUACAUUUACUUGUGAUCAACACCAGUAUUUAAUGCUUUUUUUUUAGUUUUGUCAUUGUGCUAUUACAUGUAUAACUAAAAAAAAAGUUUAUUUUGAAAUGGUAGAUUAGUUAAUCUUUUUAAAAAAAACUUCUGAUAAAUGUUGCUUCUAAACACUGUCAGAAAACAAAACUGAAACCACUGAGAGAAUGAUUAAUGUUUAUGUUCUUGACUGUUCUUAUACUUUGAGUCUUUUAAUAUCAUUUGCACCUAUUGUAUACUAUUUUCAUUUUUAUUUACUACAUUACUAUGUAAUCUUUGACUAAAACCUCAGUAUUAUUGAUGUUUUGUGAUGAGCUCUAAUAGUUAACCACACCAACAAUUAUUUCUCCCUCAAGUUGUUUUAUGUAUAAAAAACAACUUAGCCAAUUUUUUUAUUGUACAUGUAUAGAUCGUGAGAUUUAUAUAGUUUGAUGUAAAUAAUACAAACGUCAGUAUUGAAUAUUUGACUCUUCAAAUACCCCACCCUUAUUAUUUUAUCUCUCUUUAUAUUACUAGUUUUUAAUUAUUUAUUGUGAUAUUUGUAACACAAAAGCUGGUUUAUUAUUUCUUUCUAAACAUUUUCAAUAAUGGUAGCCAUUUUGAAAUUUUUUUACAUAUAGAUCAGUAAUCAUAAAAACGUGUAUUUCUUUGUCUUUUGAUGUUUGUAAUUUUAUUAAUUUCACUUUUUUGUAUAAAACAUCAGGUUUUCUCAGUACUAUAAAUAUACACACAGUUUUUCAUAUAAGUCUUUAUUUCUGCUUGAAUUCAAGAUGUUAGAGAAUUCUCAAAGAGGGUAGUUUCAAUACAACGGUCUUCUGUGUUCCUUUAUUGUAGGCGAUUUUUCUCUUGCUAAGAACUUAUAAUCUAAAAAAGCAUUAUUGAAUACGAAUAUAGUACUUAACUUGAAAAUGUUUACUUAUGUUUAGAUCUUGAAACAUUUGUCAGUGUGUGACUUUCAUUACCUGCAGUAAUUAAAUUGUCACUUAAAUGUUGAAAGUGUAUUAAACUCUGAUUCAUAAAGAUUUAUUUUGAUUAGAAAACUGAAAUUUUUGGACGAUUCUGUGAGCGUCAGUUUCUCUCGUUUAAUGAUCUAAGCCUUAUUAGUUAAAACCUUGACUGUAACCAGUCAUAAGUUCUUGUCUUGCUCUUUGUGACUGGUGUGUACAUAACUCGGAUCUUUUCCUUUUCUGUACUUUUAUAGAGAUGGGACGUGCGUGUAUAACAUCUCUUGUCUCUUACUUUACAAAAUAUUCUGUAAUUCUUUACCCUGGGGACGUGCGUGUAUAACAUCUCUUGUUUCUUACUUUACAAAAUAUUCUGUAAUUCUUUACCCUGGGGACGUGCAUGUAUAACAUCUCUUGUCUCUUACUUUACAAAAUAUUCUGUAAUUCUUUACCUCGAGCUCUUUGUUUAUUUUGUAAACCAUUCAUAUGGCUAUGACACUAAUUAUCUAUGCGUGUUAAAGAAAGACAUUUGUGCCAUAACUCAUUUGAUGACUGGAGAAGAAAUGGACAGUUUUUAAAUAUUUCUCAUCACCUUUUAGUUUCUGGAGAUUAAACCAGUACUUUAUGAAAUAAUACUUUUCUCAACAGUACUGAGUUGCAUAAAAAGUUUUCUGGGAUUGAUAUUUUAGUGUGAUAGAUUUAGUUUAAGCCUAGUUGCGUCCCUAGGAUAUCAUAACUCAAAUUAUCAGUUUGUAGACUUACAGAAUAUUACCAGUCAGAUUUAUUAAAUUGGAAACCAAGGUGACCUUCCACUUUAUGAAAUAAUACUUUUCUCAAUGGUACGGAGUUGCAUACAAAGUUGUUUGGGAUUGAUAUUCUAGUGUAGAUCUAGUUACAUCCCAUCAUGUUUUAUGAUGAGUCAACACAGUAGCAUGCAUGCAUGGUUAUGGAUAAAUAAAAGUGAUAUAUUAAUUAUAAUUGGAUCUAUAAUGUCAGAUCUUAUAUUUUAUUUGAGAACUAUCUGAACAAGAUAUGUCAAAUUAACUGCAGCUUUAAAUUUCAUAGUCGUCAAGCUGAAAUGGGUAGAUGGUAAAAACAAAAUAAAAACGUUGAUUUUGAGAAAGUGUUAUUAUUACAACAGAGAUCAGAAGUUUAUGAAAAGGAAGUGUGUAUGUGUGAGACAGUUUUAACUCCAGGAAAUAGACAUAAGUAUUAUCUUUUGCUGCUAUAUAAGUGUACACUAUGCACCUGACUUGUGAAAGUAUGAAAUAAAAUAUAUGAGAGUGAUUGA
This is a long non-coding RNA of Limulus polyphemus (Atlantic horseshoe crab), 3520 nucleotides long. RefSeq lists it as uncharacterized. The record is from RefSeq and is a predicted model, not a curated record. The transcript is spliced from 2 exons. NCBI's taxonomy places the organism in Eukaryota, Metazoa, Arthropoda, Merostomata, Xiphosura, Limulidae.